UACGGAGGGGGCUAGCGUUGCUCGGAAUCACUGGGCGUAAAGGGUGCGUAGGCGGGUUUUUAAGUCAGGGGUGAAAUCCUGGAGCUCAACUCCAGAACUGCCUUUGAUACUGAAGAUCUUGAGUCCGGGAGAGGUGAGUGGAACUGCGAGUGUAGAGGUGAAAUUCGUAGAUAUUCGCAAGAACACCAGUGGCGAAGGCGGCUCACUGGCCCGGUACUGACGCUGAGGCACGAAA
Molecule: ribosomal RNA, 235 nt
Filed under: uncultured bacterium
Lineage: Bacteria
Description: partial 16S ribosomal RNA
Rfam family: Bacterial small subunit ribosomal RNA
Source: RNAcentral